GCAACCCAGUUCGCAGCCCCAGGCUGGAUGUGGGCUUGAGGUUCCCAAGAGCAGCUUUGGAGUCCCAGGCCUGGGUAGAGGGCACCUGUGGACCGAGCGUAGGGCCGAAUGAGGGUCCCGGUGGGGGAGGGGCGUGGGGAGUCCGAGAUCAUGGACAGGCGCCCAGCCAUUUGGAUGCAGUUAGUUGAAGGCUCUUCACUGUGCCGAGACGCCGUCUAGUGUGGCAUUUCGGAGGGCGGGGAUGUCCUCCCGUUUCUGAGCCCAACGAAGCCUCUAACUGCAGCUUCAGGGCCACGGGGAACCUGGGUCAAGUCCUGCGGGCAUCCCGUCCGCCCCACUGCCUUCAUUCAGGGCUGGGCCUCGGAAGCGUUUUGUUCACGCCUGCCCUCUGGCUAUCUCGCCUGCUCCCAGAGGCAUCUUGGGUGCAGACUACAGUCAGUAAGUGAAGGAGCCUCCUGAUCCUGGCCCGGAUACCAGCACUUACCAGAGUGGAGUUUACGUUGCACGCCUACCUGCAGCAAUGGCGAGGAAGCUGGAAACUGCACAAGUGCAAAAUCUCCCAGAAUCCCUCUGAGUGGGCUUGAGAGGGCAGAGAGUCUGAAUGGAAAGCUUAUUCUGAUUGGAGACACAGCCUUCGGAUCCAGACAGGUAGCUAGGGCAUUCCCUGGUGGUCCAGUGGUUAUGACUGUGUGCUCUCACUGUCGAGGGCUCUGGUUCAAUCCCUGGCUGGGGAACUAAGAUCCCACAAGGUGCGUGACGUGGCCAAAACAACAACAACAAAAAACCCAAAAAAUUUUUUAAAAUUAAAAAAAAAAGUAAAGGGAGCUAAAGCACAGGAUCGUGAUGCUGAAUUAUGGGAGGGGGAAUAUUGGCAAGGGGUGAGGAGUGCUGCUGAAAGGGGAGGAAAAGUCUGGGAUUGCGGGGGGCUUGGGCUCCAUGGUGAGUAGUGGGGAUCUACUGGGGGGCUGCCAGCCGCCACUGGGAUGAAGCAUCCUGAGGAAGUGGAGGGGAUGGGCAGUGGAAAGUCCCAGGACUAGGCUGCCACUGCUGCCCCUCUUCCAGAGCCAUGUGGGAGGGGGAAGGGCCUUAGGAGACCUCUCUGCACAUCCUGAUAGAUAUCAUUUGGAGCUUCCCAUGAAGGGACUCAGUGCCUGCCCAUUGAGGGCCAGCACAGCCCCACCCUCCUGUCUAGGCAGCCGAAGGACCAGCUGUCAGUGCUGCUCCUGGGAGGAGGUAGAUGCUUCUCAGGAGGGAGAGUUCUGGGUCACGACUCAAGGAGCAAGCAGCAGGGACCCUCUGCCCCUUGUUGCCAAAGUUUCUGACCCAGAGGAAUGAGCUUAUAUGUGGAGGGUCCCAUCCCUCCACCCCUGUAUGCGUGAUGGAGAGGAGAUGGUUCUCAGGAAACCCCUGUAACUGAGCUGGGGGCAGGGACACCUGAGUUCUGCUGAACUUAAAGGUUCACCAGAGGGGAAAUACUCUUAGAGGUGGAAGGAGUUGCUCAGGAGUUCCCUUCCCCCAACCUCUCAGCCUGUCAGCAGGCCUUGGAGCUGUAGCAGUGACCAAGGCCAACCUGCCAUCCCAGAAUUCAGUCUGAUACAGGAGGAAGACAAGUAAAGAAGAAGACAAGUGAAGAGGUCCUUGCAAUACAGUGUGACACGUGCUGUGAUGGGGAAGCACAAGGCCCCAGGAGCAGAGGAGACAUUGCCCCUGUGUGAUGGCAUGGGUUUUCCGGAGGGAAUCAUAACCAGAGAGCUCCGUGAUAGAGGCCCACACUCUGGCAUCAGAAAAAUCUAGGCUUGUGGCCCUGCAAACAAUAUUGUAGCGAUUGUUCCAAGCAGCACAGAAAGACCUACUGCAUUCUUUCUGACAAUUUGAGAUCCUAGAAGUGGGGUUAUUGGGCCCUACAGGGGCUGCAAUCUGAUAUUACCCAACUGUCUUCGAAGAUUUUGCAUCAAUUCUGCUGCAGCUGCUGUGGUUGAGAAGGUCUGUCUCCUCACACCAAGGCCAUUCUCCCGGUAUCUUAGUUCCCUCACCAGAAAUAGAAUCGUGCCCCUUGCAGUGGAAGCACAGAGUCUUAACCACUGGACUGCAAGGGAAGUCCCAGUUUGUAUUUUUUUUUUAAGAUUUUUUGAUGUGGACCAUUUUUAAAGUCUUUAUUGAAUUUGUUACAAUAUUGCUUCUGUUUUAUAUUUUGGUUUUUUGGCCAACAGGCAUGUGGGAUAAGAUCCCUUAGUUCCCUGACCAGGAAUUGAACCCACACCCCCUGCAUUGGAAGGUGAAGUCUUGACCAUUAGACCACCAGGGAAGCCGCCAGUUUGUAUUUUUAAAAGUUUUCAGUGUCUCCAAUUUUGUGUGUGUGUGUGUGUAUUAAAAACAAGUAUUGCCAGGGAAUUCCCUGGCAGUCCAGUGGUUAGGACUGGGCACUUUCACUGCCGGGGCCCGGAUUCAAUCCCAGGUCCGGGAAGUAAGAUCCCGCAAGCCGCACAGUGCGGCAAAAACAAAAAUAAAACAAACAAAAAACGAACCAAACAAAACGAAAGCAAGAACAACAAGAAACAAAAAACCAUGUAUCGCCAUUAUAAAGCUCUGGGGAGUGUGAUUUGGCAAAAUCUAUUCAGCAUUAAACUUCACAUAUCCUUUGACCCAUCAACCCAACUCCUGGUUAUUUAUCCUAGAGAAAGAAAAACACAGGAAGUAUAUGUUACAUAUAUGUGUGAAUAUAUACAUAUGCAUACAUAUGUAAGAGAAUGUUUAGCUCCAAUACUGUUUGCGAUAAUAGGCCUGGAAGCAACCUGAACACUCAUCAGUACGGGAAUGUUUGAUUAAAUUUCACUGCACUUGCAAAUUGCAACUUUAAAAGUGAGUGAUAUAUAUAGAAAAAUGGUACAAAUCAACUGGUUUGCAAGGCAGAAAUAGAGACACAGAUGUAGAGAACAAACAUGGACAUCAAAUGCGGAAAGCGGGGAGGGUUGGGGGGGAAUGAAUUGGGAGAUUGGGAUACCAAAUUGUACACUCUAAAUAUAUGCUGUUUAUUGUUUAUUAACUGUAUCUCAAUAAAAGUUCUUUUAAAAAAAGUGAUAUAUAUCUGAAGGGAGUGUAAUUCAGGCUCUGUGGAGAACAAUUUGGCGCCAUCAAUAAAAGUGAAAAAUUCAA
Hippopotamus amphibius kiboko is the source of this 3153-nucleotide RNA transcript. It is a transcript of the gene named F-box and leucine rich repeat protein 12, with no coding region annotated. The record is from RefSeq and is a predicted model, not a curated record. Lineage: Eukaryota; Metazoa; Chordata; Mammalia; Artiodactyla; Hippopotamidae. The transcript is spliced from 5 exons.